Molecule: ribosomal RNA, 305 nt
Filed under: uncultured bacterium
Lineage: Bacteria
Description: bacterial SSU rRNA
Rfam family: Bacterial small subunit ribosomal RNA
Source: RNAcentral
UUCCUACGGGGCGCAGCAGUGAGGAAUAUUGGUCAAUGGGCGGGAGCCUGAACCAGCCAAGCCGCGUGAAGGAAGAAGGCGCCAGGCGUCGUAAACUUCUUUUGUCGGGGAACAAAGGGCGCCACGUGUGGCGUUGUGAGUGUACCCGAAGAAAAAGCAUCGGCUAACUCCGUGCCAGCAGCCGCGGUAAUACGGAGGAUGCGAGCGUUAUCCGGAUUUAUUGGGUUUAAAGGGUGCGUAGGCGGUCCGGAAAGUCAGCGGUAAAAGCCCGGGCCGGCCGUUGAAACUGGGGAUCUUGAGGGGGG